GCAGCAAAAGUUUUGGCCGGUCCCAUAAAAAAUAGUUCCAGCAAAAAAGAUUGUUGUCCCGGUCAUAGGUAUUGUAUGAUUCCACUCUACUCCUCUGUAGUUAUUUGGCUGAAGAUGUGCAUUAGUGGUUGGCUGUGAUAAUACAUAUAGUAAGAUUGCAUGUUAUGCUUAGCAGAGCUUAGCGGAAAUUUGCUAGAGGAGUUGCAACAGCCUUGAUCAAAUAUUAUUUUCAUUAUUCCUUCUUGGUUUUAGAUAAUCUUCAUCGAAAUUUGCUAGAGAAGUUGCAACAGCUUUGGUCAAAUAUUAUUUUUAUUAUUCUUUGUUGGGUUUAGACAAUAAAGUAGAGAAUCAAAAUCCUUCUACUAUAUGUGUACCUGUAAUAGAGCAACGCUUGUUGCAGCUAGCUGCAGGAAGGACCAACUUGACUUGAUGGGGAUACAAUCACCAAGAAAGAUUCAUACCUGAACUUACCUUUAUGCAUUGCACGAACUACCAAGAUAUUGUAUCUUCCUGUAUGAUCCAUAACUCAUAGACACAUGAGUAGCGAUGGGAUACUAUUUGGUAUGAACAACAUCAUCGUGUUGCAAUUCUAACAUGUAUUCAUUGAACUUAUUUAUCCACAUAAUAGUGAUGCAUCUUACGUAUCUGUCUAUUGUAUCUGAAUCUAAAAUGUAAUUAACUCCUUAAUUUGCCUUCAACAGGAUUGAUAUUUAAAUUAACCAUUUUUUAUAAUGACAAUGAACAUGUCAUUUCUAAGCACUGGCAUGCACUUUUUAUUUCAUGUCGAUAACACGGUGAUGCUUCGCGAAAUGUUUGAACAGGGUAGAUAGCCAUUCAACUAGGGGGAGCUGAUUUUUCCCCGUUGCAAUGCACGGGCACUUUUGCUAGAAGUAGAGGCAUUUAUUAACUGAAGCAAAGUCGCUCUGUCUUUAUCAUGUCAAUAGGCAAUUGUGCCUACAAAUUAGACAAUAGGGGGGAUUUAGCAAGUCACCAGCUCCGAAAGCAUAAAAAAUAAUUCAGUAUAUAGGCGACUACUCGAUUUUGAAGAGGUACUUCUCCAAAAAAGAUAGUACGUGAGCCUUUUCUAAGCUGUAGGAUAUCAUAGUCUGCUCUGCUAGCUGUAAAUUGUAAGAUAGGUGGCUGCAUGUCUCAUAUUCCCGCAUGCUCGACACUGAGAUAACCAUCUCAUCGGCUUCUGGUAAGCUCCCUCUCGACAUGCUUGCAUACCGGACAGUUUUGGUGCAUUUGUAGUAGCUCGUAUCAAUGGUUUCAGCUCUGCUAAACAAUGGGUUCAAUUAUUUCAUUAGUCUUAGCUACUGUGAUUUGAUAAGGGAUAUACUAACAAAUUUUGUUUGGUUCACUUGAACUCCGCCCCUUAAAGAGGUACUAUAUCUUAUCAAGCCUGCGAGACACUGAGCACUCCUCCCUAUCCGACCACAAUUCUUCCAACCCAAUACAGUAGCUCAAGGCGUCAUCGAUGGUCUAGCAGCGAUCCGUAGCAACGCACGGGCACAUUUACUAGUUAUGCUCAUGAGGGAGUCGUUGCAUAAACCGGCUCUUCUCUAGUUGUGUCUAGUCUUAACCAUUAUUUUCUCUUCUCCUUUGGGAAGCCCUGCCUUCCUUAUAUAUGUUGAAGGGACGGUUUACAUGACUAGUCCUAGUUGGAUUAGGAUUACUCUAUUACAAGUGGAAUCCUAGUCUUGCUUUCUUUGUAGGAGAAUAUUCCUUAUGAUUUUCUCAUAAACCGGCCCAUCAUUAACAUGAACCGGCCUUCUGGGCCUUGGGCCUUGUCAUUCGUCUGACCUGCCCGCUGGAUCACCAGUGAGUCAUAAUGUUUAGGCGGGUUGCAUCAAGUCAGGGCGGGUCGCCAGUGAAUCGCCAAGUGUCAGCCAGGUCUUAAGUAAAUCGCCAAGUCCGGUCGGGUCAUAUUUUCGGCCGGGUUAUAUAGCGGGGUAUAUCCCCGACAGUACCUCCUCGCGAAACUCAUGGAAAGGUACACAAUAGGUCUGGUACAAAUCAUAGCAUACUUUAUAGAACCUAUGGCUGAGGCAUAGGAAAUGACUUUCAUUCUCUUUCUAUUUUCUGCUGUGGUCGGUUUUGAGUCUUACUCAACUUCACAUCUUACAAUAUAGGCAAGAACUCCUUCUUUGACUGAUCUAUUUUGAACGUCUUCAAAAUCUUGUCGAGGUAUGUGCUUUGUGAAAGUCCUUUUAAGUGUCUCGAUCUAUCCCUACAGAUCUUGAUGCCCAAUAUAUAAGUAGCUUCACCGAGGUUUUCUAUCAGAAAACUCUUAUUCAAGUAUCUUUUUAUGCUAUCCAAAAAUUCUAUAUCAUUUCCAAUCAACAAUAUGUCAUUCACAUAUAAUAUUAGAAAUGCUACAGAGCUCCCACUCACUUUCUUGUAAAUACAGCCUUCACCAUAAGUCUGUAUAAAAACAUAUGCUUUGAUCACCUUAUCAAAGCGUAUAUUCCAACUCUGAAAUGCUUGCACCAGUUCAUAGAUGAACCACUAGAGCUUGCACACUUUGUUAGGACCUUUAAGAUCGACAAAACCUUUUGGUUGCAUCUACAACUCUUCUUUGAGAAAUCCAUUAAGGAAUACAGUUUUGACGUCCAUUUGCCAGAUUUCAUAAUCAUAAAAUGUGGCAAUUGCUAACAUGAUUCGGACAGACUUAAGCAUCGCUACGGGUGAGAAGGUCUCAUCAUCGUCAACUCUUUGAACUUGUCAAAAACCUUUUGCAAAAAGACGAACUUUGUAGACAGUAAUAUUACCAUCAGCGUCAGUCUUCUUCUUGAAGAUCCAUUUAUUCUGUAUGGCUUGCCGAUCAUCGGGCAAGUCAACCAAAGUCCAUACUUUUUUUUCAUACAUGGAUCCUAUUUCAGUUUCAUGGCCUCAAGCCAUUUGUCGGAAUCUGGG
RNAcentral lists this long non-coding RNA (2916 nucleotides) under Triticum aestivum (bread wheat). Its description in RNAcentral is "long non-coding RNA (TAES_LNC025699)". The record is from RNAcentral. Lineage: Eukaryota; Viridiplantae; Streptophyta; Magnoliopsida; Poales; Poaceae.